UACGUAGGGGGCGAGCGUUGUCCGGAAUUAUUGGGCGUAAAGAGCUCGUAGGCGGUUCUGUAUGUCUAUCGUGAAAGCGUACGGCUCAACCGUAUUUUGUCGGUAGAAACUGCAGGACUUGAGGCUGGGAGGGGCUGGUGGAAUUCCCUGUGUAACGGUGAAAUGCGUAGAGAUGGGGGAGAACACUCGUGGCGAAGGCGGCCAGCUAGACCAGUUCUGACACUGAGGCGCGACAGCGUGGGGAGCAAACAGG
This 253-nucleotide ribosomal RNA is filed under the name uncultured bacterium. RNAcentral describes it as "partial 16S ribosomal RNA". It matches the Rfam family "Bacterial small subunit ribosomal RNA", at positions 524 to 776 of the family's 1533-position model. The record is from RNAcentral.